RNAcentral lists this ribosomal RNA (1536 nucleotides) under Mycobacterium tuberculosis RGTB327. RNAcentral describes it as "16S ribosomal RNA". It matches the Rfam family "Bacterial small subunit ribosomal RNA". Lineage: Bacteria; Bacillati; Actinomycetota; Actinomycetes; Mycobacteriales; Mycobacteriaceae. The record is from RNAcentral.
UUUUGGGAGAAUUUAAACCUGGCUCCGGAGAAAAUCGAGGGCGGCGUGCUUAACACAUGCAAGUCGAACGGAAAGGUCUCUUCGGAGAUACUCGAGUGGCGAACGGGUGAGUAACACGUGGGUGAUCUGCCCUGCACUUCGGGAUAAGCCUGGGAAACUGGGUCUAAUACCGGAUAGGACCACGGGAUGCAUGUCUUGUGGUGGAAAGCGCUUUAGCGGUGUGGGAUGAGCCCGCGGCCUAUCAGCUUGUUGGUGGGGUGACGGCCUACCAAGGCGACGACGGGUAGCCGGCCUGAGAGGGUGUCCGGCCACACUGGGACUGAGAUACGGCCCAGACUCCUACGGGAGGCAGCAGUGGGGAAUAUUGCACAAUGGGCGCAAGCCUGAUGCAGCGACGCCGCGUGGGGGAUGACGGCCUUCGGGUUGUAAACCUCUUUCACCAUCGACGAAGGUCCGGGUUCUCUCGGAUUGACGGUAGGUGGAGAAGAAGCACCGGCCAACUACGUGCCAGCAGCCGCGGUAAUACGUAGGGUGCGAGCGUUGUCCGGAAUUACUGGGCGUAAAGAGCUCGUAGGUGGUUUGUCGCGUUGUUCGUGAAAUCUCACGGCUUAACUGUGAGCGUGCGGGCGAUACGGGCAGACUAGAGUACUGCAGGGGAGACUGGAAUUCCUGGUGUAGCGGUGGAAUGCGCAGAUAUCAGGAGGAACACCGGUGGCGAAGGCGGGUCUCUGGGCAGUAACUGACGCUGAGGAGCGAAAGCGUGGGGAGCGAACAGGAUUAGAUACCCUGGUAGUCCACGCCGUAAACGGUGGGUACUAGGUGUGGGUUUCCUUCCUUGGGAUCCGUGCCGUAGCUAACGCAUUAAGUACCCCGCCUGGGGAGUACGGCCGCAAGGCUAAAACUCAAAGGAAUUGACGGGGGCCCGCACAAGCGGCGGAGCAUGUGGAUUAAUUCGAUGCAACGCGAAGAACCUUACCUGGGUUUGACAUGCACAGGACGCGUCUAGAGAUUAGGCGUUCCCUUGUGGCCUGUGUGCAGGUGGUGCAUGGCUGUCGUCAGCUCGUGUUCGUGAGAUGUUGGGUUAAGUCCCGCAACGAGCGCAACCCUUGUCUCAUGUUGCCAGCACGUAAUGGUGGGGACUCGUGAGAGACUGCCGGGGUCAACUCGGAGGAAGGUGGGGAUGACGUCAAGUCAUCAUGCCCCUUAUGUCCAGGGCUUCACACAUGCUACAAUGGCCGGUACAAAGGGCUGCGAUGCCGCGAGGUUAAGCGAAUCCUUAAAAGCCGGUCUCAGUUCGGAUCGGGGUCUGCAACUCGACCCCGUGAAGUCGGAGUCGCUAGUAAUCGCAGAUCAGCAACGCUGCGGUGAAUACGUUCCCGGGCCUUGUACACACCGCCCGUCACGUCAUGAAAGUCGGUAACACCCGAAGCCAGUGGCCUAACCCUCGGGAGGGAGCUGUCGAAGGUGGGAUCGGCGAUUGGGACGAAGUCGUAACAAGGUAGCCGUACCGGAAGGUGCGGCUGGAUCACCUCCUUU